This is a long non-coding RNA of Sapajus apella (tufted capuchin), 762 nucleotides long. RefSeq lists it as uncharacterized. Lineage: Eukaryota; Metazoa; Chordata; Mammalia; Primates; Cebidae. The transcript has 2 exons. The record is from RefSeq and is a predicted model, not a curated record.
AGAGCUUCACUUUUUUUUUUUUGCAUCUGCUUUUUGUAAUAUGGUUAUUGUUAUAUUACGUUGUUUUUAUGGCUUAUGAAUACAGGAAAACUAAGAAAUACGACUUUUCCAACCUCGAAGUGUCCUUAAGUUGUGUUGUUAUACAAAGGUUGAAAUGAUGUGUCAAUAUAGAUAGAAUUUGUUUUUGUGAAAUCUCUCUGAAUCUGCUGAAUCUUGACAAAUGUUUUGAGCUUGAAAGGGACAAUUCGGCCCUCAUAUAAUUUUAAGAUUCUGGUUAGAUCCUGAUUAGUAGUUUUUUUGAUGAUUGACUAAAAGUGUCAGUCCAGUAAGUUUUUAGUAUUUUCCGAUGCUGAUCAAAUAGUACUUGGGAAGGAGACCUUCAAGGUUAAGGAAGAUAUAUGUGUGUUGUUGGGAGUGAAAGUGUUUCUUUAGUACAGGGAGCAUAAUUAAUAUAUUAAUUUGUGUUGAUAUUUAUCUUUCUACUCUAAAGCGCAAUAAUUUAAGGUAUACUGCCCUCAUUGAAGAAGCAGUCCACUUGCUAAUGAGACAAGAUUGGGCAUGUUCAGGGCAGUAUGGCUAUAGAUCCCACUCGCUGCUUCACAUUUUUCACAGUAGAAUUUUGUGGUUAGUCAGCCUGCCAGGCACAAUGAUGCAUGCCUGUAAUCCCAGCGUUUUGGGAGGCUGAGGAGGGUGGAUUGCUUGAGGCCAGAGUGAGUUUGAGACCGGUCUGGGUGACUUAGUGAGACCCUGUCUCUACAAAAA